AAAUGCAAGUCAGAGCAGGGUUAGCCGGCCCCUAAGGCGAGGCCGAAAGGCGUAGCCGAUGGGAAACGCGUCAACAUUCGCGUGCCGCUCGAAGGACGUUACGAGCCAAGGAGAGACGGGAUUCGGAUGGUCUUCGGGCGAUCAGAAAUGCCCGAUGAGGCCCGAGGGGUAGUGGCAGGCAAAUCCACCACGACAUCCCCGGAGGUCGCACGAGCCCAAUUAUGUUGGCGAAGUGACCUGAUGGGUCUCCGAGAAAAGCUUCGUGGCCAGUCCCAGGGCGACCGUACCAGAAACCGACACAGGCAGGCAAGGAGAGUAUCCUAAGGCGCUCGUGAGAACUCUCGUGAAGGAACUCGGCAAAAUUACCCCGUAACUUCGGGAUAAGGGGAGCCUCACUGGUUCAGGGUGAACAACCCAAAGGCCGGAGAGGCCGCAGAGAAUCGGCCCAAGUGACUGUUUAUCAAAAACACAGGUCUGCGCUAAGUCAGAUAGACGCUGUAUGCAGGCCGACGCGUGCUCGGUGCCGGAAGGUUAAGGUGAGGGGUCAUCCCUUCGGGGAGAAGCUCCGAGCCGAAGCCCCGGUUAACGGCGGCCGUAACUAUGACGGUCCUAAGGUAGCGAAAUUCCUUGUCGGGUAAGUUCCGACCCGCACGAAUCGCGUAACAACUUGGGCGCUGUCUCCACGAGGGACACGGCGAAAUUGUAUCGGCGGUGAAGAUGCCGCCUACCCGCAGCUAGACGGAAAGACCCCGUGAACCUUUACUGCAACCUAUUAUUGGCUCUUGAUCUGUAGUGCGUAGGAUAGGUGGGAGGCUUCGAAGCCCUGGUUCUGGCCAGGGCCGAGCCACCGGUGAAAUACCACCCUCGACAUAUUAGGAUUCUAACCGGCAGCCGUGAUCCGGCGUCGGGACAGUGAUAGGCGGGCAGUUUGGCUGGGGCGGCCUCCUCCAAAAGAGUAACGGAGGAGUCCAAAGGUUCCCUCAGUGCGGUUGCAAUCGCACGCGGAGCGUAAAGGUAUAAGGGAGCUUGACUGCGAGUGCGAUGGCACGAGCAGAUGCGAAAGCAGGGCUUAGUGAUCCGGCGUUUGCCGUGUGGAAGGGACGUCGCUCAACAGAUAAAAGGUACUCCGGGGAUAACAGGCUGAUCUUGCCCAAGAGUUCAUAUCGACGGCAAGGUUUGGCACCUCGAUGUCGGCUCAUCGCAUCCUGGGGCUGAAGGAGGUCCCAAGGGUUCGGCUGUUCGCCGAUUAAAGCGGUACGUGAGCUGGGUUCAGACCGUCGCGAGACAGGUCGGUCCCUAUCUUCUGUGGGUGUAGGACCCUUGAGGGAGUCUUUCCUUAGUACGAGAGGAUUGGGAAGGACGAACCUCUGGUGUGCGGGUUGUCCCGCUAGGGGCAUUGCCCGGUAGCCAUGUUCGGUAUGGAUAAGCGCUGAAAGCAUCUAAGCGCGAAGCCAGUCCCAAAAUUAGAGGUCCCUGAGGCUCGUCGAAGACUACGACGUUGAUAGGCCGGACGUGCAAGCACGGUGACGUGCUCAGCGAACCGGUACUAAACAGCCGAUCGGCUUGACCGU
RNAcentral lists this ribosomal RNA (1571 nucleotides) under metagenome. RNAcentral's name for it is "bacterial LSU rRNA". It matches the Rfam family "Bacterial large subunit ribosomal RNA", at positions 1360 to 2925 of the family's 2925-position model. The record is from RNAcentral.